CGAGAUUGUCGAAAAAUUGAUGACAGCCAGUUAUGAAGCUGACAUAAGGACGAUUGAAGAUCUGGCCAAUUCAAAACUUCUGGUUGAAUGGGCUAAUCAUCCGUAUUGGCAGAGAGAUUUUGAAUCAUUAACUGAUGCUGAAAUUAAAGCUUUCUCACGUUGGACUGAUGAAAACAUAAAUAUUCCCUACACAAAGAAAGUAACAGCACAUUAUAUGACAAUUACCAAGUUAUCGACAUUAUUGAACCAGAAAACCGGCGAUUUUCUGUCUUUGGUGAAGCCUAUGGAUUAUUUUUUCUUGAAAUCAUAUUCGACGAUUUCUAUAACAAGUGAAGCAUAUUUAUUGCACAUGCCGCUAUUAAAUCAGUUUAUUCUUUGGUGGAAAAGUGGCGGUUUGCUUACAAAAUGGGAGUGGGAUACUUACGCGACCGAAAACAAAAUGGCGGAUAUACUAAAGUAUCUGGAUAAUAAAAUUCCACCGAAGGGACCAACCAUAUUGCUUUUGGAACACGUCCGGGGUGUUUUUCUGGUAUGGAUUAUAGGAAUUACAAUUGCAAUAUUAUC
This is a long non-coding RNA of Dalotia coriaria, 564 nucleotides long. RefSeq lists it as uncharacterized. The record is from RefSeq and is a predicted model, not a curated record. NCBI's taxonomy places the organism in Eukaryota, Metazoa, Arthropoda, Insecta, Coleoptera, Staphylinidae. The transcript has 3 exons.